GGGCAAUUAGCUCAGGUGGAUAGAGCGUCAGCCUCCGGAGCUGAAGGCCGCAGGUUCGAAUCCUGCAUUGCCCGCCA
Molecule: transfer RNA, 77 nt
Filed under: Desulfonauticus sp.
Lineage: Bacteria; Pseudomonadati; Thermodesulfobacteriota; Desulfovibrionia; Desulfovibrionales; Desulfonauticaceae
Description: tRNA-Arg
Rfam family: tRNA
About the family: Transfer RNA (tRNA) molecules are approximately 80 nucleotides in length. Their secondary structure includes four short double-helical elements and three loops (D, anti-codon, and T loops).
Source: RNAcentral